UAGGAGAAACGAUUGUGAACACAGUUCAUAUAUAGCAUGAGUUUCGACGACAUGCCGUCUGGUGUAUACGAGGUGGCAAUACAUAU
This 86-nucleotide small RNA is filed under the name pig gut metagenome. Its description in RNAcentral is "GA-cis RNA". It matches the Rfam family "GA-cis RNA". The record is from RNAcentral.